Molecule: RNA transcript, 1660 nt
Organism: Populus trichocarpa (black cottonwood)
Lineage: Eukaryota; Viridiplantae; Streptophyta; Magnoliopsida; Malpighiales; Salicaceae
Gene name: ras-related protein Rab11D
Exons: 4
Source: RefSeq, a predicted model, not a curated record
ACACCAGAUUAUCAAACUCUGAUCAUCUUUUUAGCUCGUUUACCUUCAGUAUAGCAACAGUAGCAAACAAAGCAUACAGUCCUACUAAGAUCUAGUAGCUAUAUAGCACAGCACGCAUGACCCUCUCCUUUAGAAGAAGCAAAGGAAACCCAUUUGGAGAGAGUUGAGGGGAUGAGAAAAUGGCUAGUGGGGGUGGAUAUGGAGAUGCGAGCCAAAAGAUAGACUAUGUAUUUAAGGUGGUGUUGAUAGGGGACUCAGCAGUUGGGAAAUCACAAAUACUUGCUCGAUUUGCUAGAAACGAGUUUAGUCUUGACUCUAAAGCUACUAUUGGUGUUGAGUUUCAAACUCGGACUUUAGUUAUUGAUCAUAAGAGUGUCAAGGCCCAGAUCUGGGAUACUGCUGGUCAAGAACGGUACAGAGCAGUCACAAGUGCAUACUACAGGGGUGCUGUUGGGGCAAUGCUGGUGUAUGACAUAACCAAACGCCAGACAUUUGAUCACAUACCACGCUGGCUGGAAGAACUGCGUAGCCAUGCCGACAAGAACAUAGUUAUCAUUCUGAUUGGGAACAAAAGUGAUCUUGAGGACCAGCGGGCCGUACCCACUGAGGAUGUCAAUGAAUUUGCUCAGAAGGAAGGACUAUUCUUCCUCGAGACCUCAGCAUUGCAAGCAACUAAUGUUGAGAGCGCCUUUAUGACUCUGUUGACAGAGAUCUUCAACAUUGUAAACAAGAAGAACCUGAUUGCUGGUGAAAAUCAAAGCAACGGUAACCCGGCAUCCUUGUCCGGCAAGAAGAUCAUCAUUCCAGGCCCUGCACAAGAAAUUCCAUCUAAGAGCAAGUGUUGUAGAUAAAGUCAAUUGUGAUUUGAUCAGUCCUGGCUUUGAAACUGCAUGCUUCUCUUUAAUGUGCUUCCAACAGCAAUUUUGUUUUGAAAGGCGUGAUGUAUUUAUUUGUAAAUCUUACCGUCUUAUAGUUUAGUUUGCAUUAGCAGCUGACAAGUUUCUUAUUUUGAGGUGAAGCUGAGUCGUAUAUUCUCCUCUCAAUCUCAUUCUCGAAAAGAAAAGGUUCGUAUUUUCAUUGAAUGUUUUGAAUACCUUUUAUACCCGUGCUUUGAAUUUCUGUAGUGCAGUGAUGGAAGGUGGAAGUGAAAAGGUUUAUGGCGGUUCUCUGUUACUUGAGAGGCUUUUUAGCAGUAGUUCCCUAUUCUGAACAAAAAGUUGCAACCACUGGUAGUGGAUGUGUCUAUUCUCUGCCCUCGGACUAGAGAUGAUAACGUUUUAGCAUGCAGCCAAGUGGUGACCAUCACGCUCAGCUUGGAUCUACCUUUCCAGCAGCCAAUGGCUAUCGUUGAAGCAUCCGCCUUGGUAGGAUCUGACAUGGCUUUGCUGUCUGCAAUCAAAACAAUGUCGUAAAUAGUGAAUACACAUUUAUCCACUAAUAACCCAAACAUGGUAGGUACUGCUACAUACCCUCAUAACUAUUACGCCACAACCCAUCAUAAGCUUUGAUGCCUUCUCAGCAUCAACAAAGUCUGCGAAUUUUAUUGCUUUAUACUGCCACAAAUGCUUGAAAUCCACCAGGGAUGUAUAUAGGUUUUUCAAACCAUACGAGAUCUUUAUCUUUUUUAUCUAAAAAGAUUUCUAACUUUGAAUUUCCUUCU